Long non-coding RNA from Phyllopteryx taeniolatus (common seadragon), 5346 nucleotides. RefSeq lists it as uncharacterized. The transcript is spliced from 5 exons. NCBI's taxonomy places the organism in Eukaryota, Metazoa, Chordata, Actinopteri, Syngnathiformes, Syngnathidae. The record is from RefSeq and is a predicted model, not a curated record.
UUCUCCUCCGCCGAGUUUGUCCAUUCACAUUUGGCAUACUCGCUGUGUGACGAACAGGUCUGUAAAAGGUUUGCUCAGAGCAGGUGUCCUUAAGAAGUUAGUUUUCUGUGAGUCGAUGAGUUGUAGGAGUUAGCUUUCUAGUAGCACACUGAUGUAGAGCAGUGUUUUUUUUUAUGACAGUCUUAAAGGGGGAGUGUGGAUCUUUGAGCACCCGUUCACUAAUCCCUAACCCCCUUGACUGCAAAGCGCGAUUCUCAAACCUAGCCAUUCAUAAUGGUACUUUACCACAUUAAACCAUAAAAAGAUAGGUCAUAGUUAAGGAAGAGGAAGGUUUGUAAAGUAAGUGGAUGUGGGCAAGAAUAAAAGCGGCUGUGUGGAUAUUUUGAAAAAGUCUCUCUGGCUCAUUGGAACGUUCUCAGCUACAUUUUGGGCACAAGCUUUGCGCUUUCAUUCACAGGCACAUUUAGAAAUGAUCAAAACUAUUUCAAACACAAAACCAAAACACAAUAUUUAGUCCUUUAUAUGUUCAUAGUUUUUAGCUGUUUAUUUUACACCAUUGCAGUUGCAAGACAAGUAAAAUGAUUUUAAAACAUAAAGCAGUGUUAAUUCUGAUAUGAUCAUGGCUUGGGGAACUAUCUCGCCCGACUCCAGCGACGCACGGCUGGCACCUUCCCGUGCCCGUUGUAGUGCUGUGCAGUGAUCAUAUUACAAUAUGAUUCGUAGUAUUGUAUAAAACCAUCUUUCAUGCUACAUAGCCCUAUACCGUGGUCGGGACCCAGAAGCAGUCCCAUACGGACCCACACUGAUAGUCAGAAAAAGAGAGGUUAUGAUUCGAGAUAGACGGGGCGCUUCUAUUUUAAGCAGCGCUGCAUUACAGGCCUGACGGUAGUGACCGAAUGUACCGACCAAUCAUAUGCGAGUUCAGCCAUCCCACGUGACCUUACUCAGCCAAUGAAGUCUGAAUCUCAGGCGGUAAUCAUUGAUUGCACGCAUACCAGACAGAAAGACGAGGAGAUACGGAGAAAGAGACUCGGCGAGUACAUUGAAGAUGGAGAAAGUUCAGAAAAUGGCAGACAAAGCAGGAGAACAUUUGGAGAAAUUGAAAUGGAACGGCCAGAAUUUAUAUAUUGUUUUACUUCACAGUGAGAAGUUCCCACUGGGAGCGUUUACGACAAGUGCGUACAUGAAUUACACCAUCAUGAGUCAAGGUUUUGAACCAGCAUAACCUCUAACUGAUCAACUGUGAGGCAUUUCAGAAAAGUACAACCCAUUCAACAAAACAUAAAUAAUGAGAUGGUCCUUUUUCAGUUAUGUUAUAUAUAUAAACCAUUUGACAUGAUAAAACAGUCCCAAAUAACGAUUUUAACAAUGCUAUAUUUAUCUUUUAGCUGAAACAUGAAUUAAUAAAUAUUAAGUCAAUUGGGUUAGUUCCACACACAUUGCCUUUUAGUUGAUAGGUUUGAUAUUGAUAAUUGAGUCAAAUGUUCACUUUAGUCUAUGCUUCGGGCUGCUAAGAAAACGGAUGUUCCUAAUUUGGACACGCUUUCUUUCAACCAUGCAAACUUUUUUGACCCAGCCCCCUAAAAGAAUCGGAAUUGAGAAUCGCUUGGAACCGGAAUCGCUCAAAUUCAAGUGAUGCCCGACCCUACAUACAUGGUUGGUUUUCAGAGAUCUGUCCUCGCUGUGCAGCUAUUGUUGUCUCUAUAUACAAUUUUUAAAUGACAGGCCCUAUUUUUACUGUUCAUAGGUAGUUACUGUUGUGAGAUUUGCUUUACGUCUAUCCAAGCCAAACUUCUUCUCUGCGUGGUAACGGGGUCACAGUCAAAUUGCGGUGAAAAGCCUCCUCUACCAUCGAAGCACUUCAUCUGGUGUUUGUGUUAGCGGUUCGCGCUGCUUGUCCUCGUGAUAUUGCUCACGGUUGCUUAUUUACUGCAAUGGAGGCGAAGAUUAGUGACGACUCAAUCGCCAAAUGCCAGUCCCUCUGUGGCUUUUAUUCCCCCUCGCCAUUCUUGUCCUUCCUCCGCGACGUCCACAGAGUCACGGUCGAGAACGGUACCAUUGAAGGCACCGUUGUCGGCCGUGACGGUGUGCACAUCGCAGGGUUUUCUUUUUAUUUCUUUAUUCCCUCCUAACUUCAUUUCCCUCCCCGCUCUCUCACCUGAGCGCUGCCAUCGGUACGCAGCUCGAAGAGGCAUCGUAUCUGGCUUUUGUUCACGCGCAGGGCCGCAGUUAGCUGGUGCGGCGCAUAUUGCUUACGCAUUUUUAUACUGGGGCAGGUAUGAUGACGCCAUCAAGAAGCGUUAUUGCGAUUGGACGGUAGAGUCCAUAUCUCUACCCUCUACAGAGUAUACCGUUUGUACUGUGCACCGCUACAAUGUAGCAUCUCUUUAAUUAAGACAACAAACAAACAGUUAAUGUCAGCAGAAUGUCAAAAUGGCUGCAAAGCUCGAAUUAAGCGGUCUCAUCGCAGUUGGCGAGUUAAAAUUUGCAUUUUGCACCUCAAAAAACGCAUUGAAAAGCAAAACUGUGACUCACGCUUUUAUCACGGAGACGGUCGCGGAGACAGUCGCAAGCAGGGGCAUAUGUGACACCACGCGCUUAUGUUACCGAUGCGUGGGAAGUACAAUGCGGACGUAAGGAGCGGGAAAACGGCGGGAAGAUGCGACGUGACGCUGAAUUGAGAAGAGGGGGAAAAAAGACUGGUGAAAGUGUGGCAGCAUUUCAUCGUGAAAUGAAAGGCGAGCAGCCGUCUGUUGGAACACGGAGCUUUUUCUCCGCCGAAGAGGCCGUGCCGUGGGACCUGAGAGACGAAAGAUUAACAAAGCGGCAGGCCCAGACCAUGUGUCCCCAUCCUGCCUCUAAGUCUGCACGGACCAGCUCGCUCCAGUCUUCACUCAGAUCUUCAAUAGAUCUCUGGAACUGUGCGAAGUUCCAUCCUGUUUCAAACGCUCCACCAUCAUUCCAGUCCCCAAGAAACCUGCAAUCUCGGGUCUAAAUGACUACAGGCCUGUCGCCUUGACAUCUGUGGUCAUGAAGUCCUUCGAACGUCUCGUGCUGGACCACCUCAAGAGCGUGACAGGUCCCCCUGCUGGACCCCCUGCAGUUUGCCUACCUCGCAAACAGGUCUACGGAUGGUGCAGUCAACAUGGGACUGCACUUCAUCCUAGAACACCUCGACAGUGCAGGGACCCACGCGAGGAUCCUGUUCGUGGACUUCAGCUCAGCGUUCAACACCAUCAUCCCUGAACUCCUGUCCUCCAAGCUUCUCCAGCUCAGCGUCUCACCUGCCAUCUACCAGUGGAUUUUUACAGCUUCCUGAAGGCCAGGACACAGCAGGUGAGUCUGGGGGAGGCCACCUCAUCCACACGCUGCAUCAGCACUGAGGCGACCCAAGGUUGUGUCCUCUCUCUCCGCUACUCUUCUCUCUCUACACGAACGACUGCACUUCAACGCACCCGGCUGUCAAUCUCCUGAAGUUUGCAGAUGACAUCACUCAAGGUCGGUGACGAGUCUGCAUAUCGACAGGAAGCGGAGCGGCUGGCGCCUUGGUGCGGCCGACACAACCUGGAGCUGAACACGCUCAAGACUGUAGAGAUGAUUGUGGACUUCAGGAGGCAUCCUUCGCCGCAGCAGCCCCUCACGCUGUCCAGCUGCCUUGUGUCAACCGUCGAGACCUUCAACUUCCUGGGAAUUACGGUCUCCCAGGACCUGAAGUGGGCGAUCAACAUCAAGUCCUCAAAAAGGCCCAGCAGAGGAUGUACUUCCUGCGGCUUCUGAGGAAGCACGGCCUGCCACGGGAGCUGCUGAGGCAGUUCUACACAGCGGUCAUCGAAUCGGUCCUGUGUUCUUCCAUCACAGUCUAGUUUGGCGCGGCUACAAAAAAGGACAAACUCCGACUGCAACGGACAAUCAAAACUGCUGGAAGGAUUGUAGGUACCCCCCUACCGACCCUUGAGGACUUGCACGCUGCCAGAACUAAGACAAGAGCGUGCAAAAUCCUCUCGGUCCCUCCGCACCCCGGUCACCGGCUCUUCCGGCUCCUUCCCUCAGGUGCGGUGUGUAGUGUUGCAACUGCGAGCCAGAUUGGAACGUAGCCUCACUUCACUCCUCCCUUCCCCUCCCCUCUGGCCGAACCCACGCCCCUCGCAGGCGUGCGCGCGCAAUUCACCAGCUGGCUUUACCGCGGUCAUCUUGUAGCGGCUGCUUUGCCAUUUUCAUCACGUCUUGUUCACCGUUGCCGAGGGGAGAGCGAGGCGACUGGUGACCCCGGCCGACUAAAUCUCUGGGAGGUGAAAGUUCACAGACUGAGUUUUGAGUCAUCACAUAUUGUGAUAAAGACAUUUCUGUGACGUGACCCCAGUUCCAUGUUUUGACGUUUGGGGAAGCUCCGACGACUCUUCAGCCCCUGAUCAACGGAAUGGUGUCUGCCAUAACCGCAAACACAUGACAAACCUCCUGGACACCAUCUUGAUUGAGGGAGUUUUACACAGAGCCAGACGACUGUGGAACGAAAUCCGGACAGCUGAUGACCUUCGUGACCCAGGAGUGAACAACGAACGAUUCUGCGCCAAUAUGUAAUGUGGAAAAUCCCAAAGGAAAUGAUUUGGAUUCAGAUAGAGUGCCAGACGUGGCCCCCUGCUUAAGCCAGUACGUGUCCAGGCCCGUCUGAAGUUUGCUAGGGAGCAUUUGGAUGAUCUAGAAGAGGAUUGGGAGAAUGUCAUAUGGUCAGAUGAAACCAAAAUAGAACUUUUUGGUCAAAACUCAACUUGUCGUGUUUGGAGGAGAAAGAAUGCUGAGUUGCAUCCAAAGAACACCAUACCUACUGUGAAGCAUGGGGGUGGAAACAUCAUGCUUUGGGGCUGUUUUUCUGCCAAGGGACGAGGACGACUGAUCCGUGGAAAGGAAAGAAUGAAUGGGGCCGUGUAUGGUGAGAUUUGGAGUGAAAACUUCCUUCCAUCAGCAAGGAAGGGCAUUGAAGAUGAAACAUGGCCGAGUCUUUCAGCAUGACAAUGGUCCCAAACGCAGCGCCCGUGCAACGGAGGAGUGGCUUCGUAGGAAGCGUUUCAAGGUCCCGAAGUGGCCUAGCCAAUCUUCAGAUCUUUGGAGGGAGUUGAAAGUCUGUGUUUCCCAGCGACAGCCCCAAAACAUCACUGCUCUCGAGGAGAUCUGCAUGGAGAAAUGGGCCAAAAUACCAGCAACAGUGUGUGAAAAUCUUGUGAAGAGUUAAAGAAAAUGUGUCAUUGCCAACAAAGGCUAUAUCACAAAGUAUUGAGAUGAACUUUUGUUAAUGACCAAAUACUUAUUUUCCACCAUAGUUUGCUAAUAAAGGCUUUAAAAAUCAGACAA